CCGAGGCAUAUGUAGGUUCCCAGGCUAGAGGUCUAAUUGGAGCUACAGCUGCUGGCUUACACCACAGCCACAGCAACGCGGGAUCUGAGCCUCUUCUUCAACCUACACCACAGCUCAGGGCAAUACCAGAUCUCCAACCCACUGAACGAACCCACAUUCUCAUGGAUACUAGUUGGACUUGUUUCCGCUGUGCCACAACAGGAACUCCAGGUCCUCAGCUCUUUUGAUGACAUUUCCAUAAAUUUCUUUCCUCUUAAUUUCUACUCUUCUCACUAUGAUUCAUCUUAACUAAGGUCCAAGUCCUCUUCUAGGUGAUCCUGGCUUCCCCUUCUGAUCCAGGUCUCUGCACCUAUUUACCUCUUUUUUUUUUUUUUUUUUUUUUUGCUUUUUAGGGCUACACCAGAGGCACAUGGAAGUUCCCAGGCUAGGGGUAGAAUUGGAGCUACAGCUGCCGGCCCACACACCACAGCCACAGCAGUGCCAGAUCCUUUAAUCCCCUGAACCAGGUAUCAAACCCACAUCCUCAUGGGUACUAGUCAGGUUUGUUGUCACUGAGCCACAAUGGGAGCUCUGUCUCUGUGCCUACUUAAAGCUCCUCUUGCCAGGCCGUUCAGGACCUGUCUCUGUGUACACACCACUCUUAACCUCGCAUCGCACUCUCUAAUUAGCACCCACUUGCUCAUCUUCCCUGGUAUACGUUGAGCUUCUUGAGGCAAGAACAGAGCGCUUAGCUUCUCAGUCCUCCUCCAGGACCACAUCCUCCGUGGGCGCCCUUGCUCCCCACCCCCAUGAAUUCAUGCCUUCAUUUUGCAAAGCAGAGAGGAGCUCCCAGGUAAGACACUGAAUGAAGGAGCAUGAUCCCAUAGUCCCCGCUUGGAAAAUGAAAGACUGAUCAUAAAACUGUUUCCCGUUUCUCUUUUUAUGGGAAGCCCCCCUCUACAAGGCUAAAAGGUUUGAGAAAACGUAAAGAAAUUUAAUCCUAGAGAAUGGACUGAGGUGCAAAGAGAAUCCAUAAUUCAACAUCUAUUGGAUUAUGUCUGAGGAUUUUAGGGAGACAAAAGGGUUCCAGGGAGUUUGUGUAUGCACUUAAAAGUGGAUAGCUGUGAUUUUGUCUUUAUACACGUAUGUGUCAUCCUACUUCUUUUCUUCAAAAAAAAAAAAAGGGUAAACCAGAUUUUCCUCAUUAUGUGAGGUUUAGGGGCCAUCUAAACCUCAUAUAAUCCACUACCUCUGGGUCACCUUUCUUUUGGUUCAAGUUCUUCACACCUGGGAGGGCUCUCAUGACAAGGUCUUGCUAUAGGCCUUGGAGAGAGAGACGGGAAGAGGCUUAAUGGGACAUGUGGCUUUAGUCACAUUAACAUCGGCACCUUUGGGUACCCUGGUCUGGUGUUCACCUUCAAAGCCAGCUGUUUCUGAGCUCUGUUGAUUGAAGCCUGGCUAAUAAGCUCCAGCAGCUAUAUUAAAACUUGAUAAUAUCCUGCCUCUACUUUUAUCUUUAUUUACAGGAAUCACUAGGGAUAUGGCAUGAACUUUUCUUUACCCAACAGCAUCGAAACAUACUAGUCCUCCCUCACCAAUCCUCUUCCCCACCCCACCAGCCAAGACCCCAGACCCUUACACUGCUUUCUCUUGUGGGAGGUGGACUAUGUGGCUUCCAUUAGGGCACUGCUGUUCUCAGCCGUGUGGUAGUCUGGCCCUUUGGCCUUUUUUUUUUUUGCCUCGUUGAACAUUGGCUGCUUGUGAGAGGCAGUGGAUUGCAGGUGGCUAUUAGAAGGCAGUCAAUUAUUUUAAUUUGCUUUUAGGGGGCCAACUUAUUUUUUAGCAGCAGGAUCUAAUCGGGCACAAGAUGUGGCAAGAUUUAGUUCAUGCCUGGCUCAUGUCAGGUGCUACUAGGAAUCUAGAAAAAGUCUUAUUAAUGGGGUGAUUUAUCAAUUCACUAAAAACAUCUGCGUGCCUACUGUGAGAAUGGCCUUGUAGGGGUGUAUAAGGCACUCUCCCUGAAAGAUAAUGGGGAAGAAAGAUAAUAUCCACGCAGAGAUUCAGAGAAUCCUUGGGUGUAAUGUGGUCUGUUAUUAUCCAUUUCAGGGGGCUCAAACUUCAGUGUGCGUGAGAAUUACUCAGACAGCUUAUUCGGUCACAGAUGGCUGAUUCAGUAGGGCUGAACCAGACUCAGAACACCUGGUCUAUAGGAACCACAGGAGGUUAGAGAAGGGAAGAACCAGCACAGACUCUGGUGGUGGAGAAGUUCAGGUAAGUGGGGCUUGGUGGAUCUUUCAGUGACUUCAGAAAGUGAGUGGAAUGAAAUGGAGCCUCAUUUGGUUUGGCAGAAGAUUGGGGUAUUUGGAUAGGUGGUGAUCAGGAUGGGAGAUGUAGACCAGGGAAACCCUGUGAACAAAAUCACCAUACCUGAAAUGAUCUCUGAAUGUCCUGUUCACCCUGUUGGGAAAGCUCAGCUCCAUCCAAUCACACGGGUAAGAUUCAUCUCUCUUCAUUCCAGUCAUAUUAUGACUUCUUUGAAAAAUGUCAGUGGUAAACUCAGAUUGAUGGAAAGACCUGACACAGAUACCCUCCAGGCAAGUCAAAGAAAGGUCACUUCUAGCUUCAUAAUAGCAUCUGUAAACUAUAGUAGAAAUUGAGUGUGAGCCUGGGUAUGAUGUACCCGAACCUCGGGGGGUUGGGCAGUUGUAGAUGACAAAGCCUAAGCUGAUGAGGUCACGUUAAACUUGUAGAAGUUCAAUUCACCUCCACUCCCAGCCUCUGUAAAGAGUGGUUUUGCAUCAAGGCUAGUCCAGGUAUGUGUCAGAGACCAGCUCACCUGAGCCAGGUGCAUACAUCAAUCUGCAGUUGUACAGGCUAUAAUAUGACUGCAGAGGAUGGCACAGUGUAGCCCACUGGGGCCUGACCACCAUCCAGCUCCCAGACCAUCACAGCCUUGUCCACAACCUUCCCUGAUAUUAGAGCUACAAAUACAAAACCAUCACUAACAUCAUGCCUGCAAAUCCUCAGACCAGCUCUAGGGCCCAUCCUGUACCUUCUCUUCUCUUUUCCUUAAUCCAAUAAAAAUCUAGUAAAUCUGUAUGCAGUGCCAAGCACUUAGCUAGAUGCUGUGGAGAUGAAGAUGAAUAAAACUCAAGUUUUCUUCAGUCUACUGGGGAAGACAAAAGGAUAGAUAUGUAGGGGCAGUAAAGAGAAGCACAGAUGAGGUUCAGAGGUGGCCCAGGGUAAAAUUAAUCCUAGUUGAGAUUCCUCCAGAAUGUGGCAAUCUGCUGGAGGAGGCAGUUCAGAGCUUGGCCUUAUAAAAUACCAAGAUCUUACAUGUAGGGCUCAGGGGUCAGACAUGAUUCAGACCUAGGGAGGCUAUGUGGAAGAGCACAGGGGCAUGGAACAGUGUGUUUAAGGAACUAUAAUCAGGAGUGUUAUUAAAUCAUAAGGGCAGUAGGUAUUUGGAGGCGGAGCUGGGAGUGGCCAGGGACACCUUCACCCUCUUAUAAUUUAUCCUCAGCGGGAAAGCCAGAAGUUGUCCUGGUAAAAUGCAAGUAAGAUCAGAUCCUGCUCCACAACCCCCUCCCUCCAGGCAGACGCCCAAGUCUCCCAGGCUCUGCAUGAUCUGCCCCCUUUCCUCUCCCCUCCCGUGUUUUUCCGUUGCACUCAGAAUUACCCAAUCACUUAAUAAUUUCCUUUACUGCUGGUCUCUCUCAUGAAAAUACAUACUCUGAGGACAGAGGUUUCCGAUGUUCUGUUCAUGGCUGUAGCCCAGCUUCUGCAACAGUGCUUGACACAUAGUAGACACCCAAUCAGUAUUUGUCAUCUGAGUGAACACUCAUCUUUGAGGCCAAAUCAAGGAUGUUGCCCUGAAAUCAUUGGAAAGCCAUCAGAGGGUUUUAAGCAGGCAGAAACAUGAGGGAUUUGUGUGUUUGUAGAUCACGCUGAAGGCUUCAUGGUUUCUCUUGACUGGAGUAAGGGGCAAGCCAGGGGCUUGGAAAACAGGUUACUGCAACCAACUGGGAUUUAAGUAAGUGAAAGAGAAGCAAUGACAGUGGAACAGAGAGAAAAGGCUGGCUUUAAAAUAUAUGCCAAAAGUGGACUUGGCAUUCUCGAAGGCUAAUGCUCAGGAUGAGGGAGCAGAAGGAAAAAGUCUGAGAUGACUCUUGGGGCCCUGAAUCGAAAUAGGAAAAGUGGGAGCAGCAGGAGCAGAAUCGAUGCAGUGGGAAACAAGGUGUUAAUAUACUCUUUCCAGGGUCCUGUGUAAGUGAGGAAAGGGCCGCCAUCACCAGUGUUGCAUGGACAUGCUGCCGUGAGAAGGGCGGUCCGUGUAUGCCGGGGAUUAAGUUUCUCAGUUGAAAGUUUCAGUGAAUCCAAGACCAAAUUAAAUGUUUAUUCAUUCACACUUUCAUCAGAAUCGUACCUGUUCAUGACUACAGGUGCUGUGGUUUGGGAGAGAUAUACUCUGCCUAGAAUUCCAUCUAGAAACAGGUACAUAAACAAUGAAAACAAUAAACACAGUCCACCAACUGUUACUGUGGAGGCAUUAAUAACGUGCAAAGGGAGCACAGAGGAUCCUCGCUGAUAUUCAGUGAAUGCUGUUUGAAUGAGUAACUUACUCUUCAGGGGUUGGAGAGGAAAUAAAGUCCCUGAAAAUUAGGAAAAUUGGUGAUGAGGUGGGGUCAGGGAAGGGAGACGGGGCAGAGAUGGAAUUCCAGGGAGAUAAAGGGACAAGAGCGAAGGCAAAUCCUUUGAUACUGACUGAGUGCAAGACAUGGUUGGGGAGGAAAGUGGCUGAAGGUGUCAGGGCCAAGUUGGGAGAGAUUUGAAUGCCAUCAUACUUAAGCUUUGUCCCACAGCUGCACGUAACAAAAUGUUUCAGAGAGGGGGAGUGAUAUGCCACCACCGGCGUUUUGAAGUUGGUUUGGAUAAUAUUGUGAGGACUUUUGCAGGGAGAAGGGACUGAAGGGGCAGAGUGCAAGUGGGGGGUGAUCACAGUGGUCCAGGAUACAGACAGUGAU
Molecule: long non-coding RNA, 5003 nt
Filed under: Sus scrofa (pig)
Lineage: Eukaryota; Metazoa; Chordata; Mammalia; Artiodactyla; Suidae
Description: lncRNA (ENSSSCG00000057321.1)
Source: RNAcentral